ACAAAACAAAAAGGGCCUAACUAAUGUGCACUUGGGCCCUAGGUCUACUGGGAGGCCCAACCCACACCCCACUCAUCUCCCUCCUCGCUACAGGAGCAGAGGGGGGAUCGUGGCGGCCAUCCCGCGGCCAUAGCCGCUCCCCUGCCGACGUGCCGGCCAUCCCGUGGCCUCCCCGACGCCUACCAGACCUGCCUCGCAGCGCCCCGAACCCUGAUCCCCUCAUUCUUUUUUCUAGUCUCUCUCCCUCGAUCUGAACCACGCCCAAGCUCCGUCGUCGACAUGUUGCCCUCGAUGUCACGGCCACCGUGCUCCCUGCGCCACGAGAAGACGUCCAGGAGGACCGCCAUCGAUGACUACUUCUUCUCCUAGCACCAGAACAAGCCGGGCCGCACCGAACGCUCGACAUCGAGCAAUUCCUCACCUGCGGCCAUCGCUUCUUGUCGCCGGUUGCCACUGCUCCGGGCCGCCCCCGACCUCCGAACCUCGUCCACAAGCACUAGGACCCCGAGACCGCUACUAAUGCCCCUGUGAUCGGCUACGUCAUCGACGACACUUCUACCCCUUUUCAAUGGAGCUUCCAGGAAAGCCCCCCCUUUGAUCAUCCCGAUGUCGCAACCAGAUGGUGGAGCCCAGAAUCCAGACGCAACCUUCGACGACAACUGCUACUACACUGAGGGUGCGUAACACUACGUGGAGGCCGCCGACGACCAGGAGUAGUUAGGAGGCUCCCAGGCAAGAGGCCUUGCCUUUUCGAUCGAUGUUGCUUUUGUGCUAGCCUUCUUAAGGCAAACAUGUCUAACUCAUGUUUGUACUCAGAUAAUGUUGCUUCCGCUGACUC
This is a long non-coding RNA of Triticum aestivum (bread wheat), 838 nucleotides long. RefSeq lists it as uncharacterized. The transcript is spliced from 3 exons. The record is from RefSeq and is a predicted model, not a curated record. NCBI's taxonomy places the organism in Eukaryota, Viridiplantae, Streptophyta, Magnoliopsida, Poales, Poaceae.